RNAcentral lists this non-coding RNA (112 nucleotides) under Burkholderia pyrrocinia. Lineage: Bacteria; Pseudomonadati; Pseudomonadota; Betaproteobacteria; Burkholderiales; Burkholderiaceae. The record is from RNAcentral. RNAcentral also lists the same sequence under 2 other names.
GAGAGCGUAAUGCUUGGAAACUUGCACGUUGCGUUCGGAGGAAGGUAGUUGGUAUCCUGAGGAGCGUAGAGUCAGCAUCUUCGCGUCGCAAGGGGCUGGCUACCCAUCCUAC